This 773-nucleotide non-coding RNA is filed under the name Papilio bianor (Chinese peacock). Lineage: Eukaryota; Metazoa; Arthropoda; Insecta; Lepidoptera; Papilionidae. The record is from RNAcentral.
AUUUUUUAUGAUUUAAAAAGUUUAAUUUGAAUUUAUUUUACAUAUAAAUUUUAGUAUAUAUUUUUAAUUUAUUUUAAGAAUUUUUAAAAAUUAAUUUAAUAGUAAUUAAUAUUAAAAAUUUAAGAAAUUAAGAUUUAGUAAUAUUUAAUGAUUAUUAACAAAUUUUGUGCCAGCAGUUGCGGUUAAACAAAAAAUAAUUUAAAUUUUAUUAGUAAAUAAUAAAUAUUGAUAUUUUAAAAUUAAAUAUUAAAUUAUUAGGUGAAAUUUUAAUUUAAUUAAAAUUUUAAUUAAUAAUUAUGAUUUAUAAAAUUUUAUUAAAAACUAGAAUUAGAUACUCUAUUAUUAAAAUUUAAAUAAAAAUACUAAAAUAGUAUAUAAUUAUUUAUUGAAACUUAAAUAAUUUGGCGGUAUUUUAGUUCAUUUAGAGGAAUCUGUUUAAUAAUUGAUAGUCCACGAAUAAAUUUACUUAAUUAAUAUAUUUUGUAUAUCGUUGUUAAAAAAAUAUUUUUUAAUAAAAAUAAUAUUUUAAAAUUUUUAAAAUAAAUUAAUUCAGAUCAAGAUGCAGAUUAUAAUUAAGAAUAUAAUGGAUUACAAUAAGAAAUGAUUAUAUGAAUAAUAUUUUUUAAUAAUUAUUUGAAGGUGGAUUUAAAUGUAAUUUUAUUUAGUUUAUUAAAAUGAUUAAAAAUUGAAAUAUGUACAUAUUGCCCGUCGCUUUCAUUAAUAAGUUGGAAUAAGUCGUAACAUAGUAGAAGUACUGGAAAGUGUUUCUAGAA